RNAcentral lists this ribosomal RNA (458 nucleotides) under uncultured bacterium. RNAcentral describes it as "partial 16S ribosomal RNA". It matches the Rfam family "Bacterial small subunit ribosomal RNA", at positions 338 to 795 of the family's 1533-position model. The record is from RNAcentral.
CCUACGGGUGGCAGCAGUGGGGGAUAUUGCACAAUGGGGGGAACCCUGAUGCAGCGACGCCGCGUGAGUGAAGAAGUAAUUCGUUACGUAAAGCUCUAUCAGCAGGGAAGAAACUCUCACCUUCCGAUCAGCAGCCGGUAGCUGAGUCAGACGCCCCGGCUACCUACGUGCCAGCAGCCGACGUACUACGUAGGGGGCCAGCGUUAUCCGGAUUUACUGGUUGUAAGGGGAGCGUAGACGGUGAGCCAAGUCUGGAGUGAAAUGCCGCAGCUUAACUGCGGAACUGCUUUGGAAACUGGCGAACUAGAGUGCGGGAGGGGGAAGCGGAAUUCCUAGUGUAGCGGUGAAAUGCGUAGAUAUUAGGAGGAACACCGGUGGCGAAGGCGGCUUACUGGACCGUAACUGACGUUGAGGCGCGAAAGCGUGGGGAGCAAACAGGAUUAGAUACCCUGGUAGUC